This 425-nucleotide ribosomal RNA is filed under the name uncultured bacterium. RNAcentral describes it as "partial 16S ribosomal RNA". It matches the Rfam family "Bacterial small subunit ribosomal RNA", at positions 354 to 796 of the family's 1533-position model. The record is from RNAcentral.
GUUAGGAAUAUUGGACAAUGGGCGCAAGCCUGAUCCAGCCAUGCCGCGUGAGUGAUGAAGGCCUUCGGGUUGUAAAGCUCUUUAGUCCACGAAUAUAAUGACUGUAGUGGAAGAAUAAGCCCCGGCUAACUUCGUGCCAGCAGCCGCGGUAAUACGAAGGGGGCGAGCGUUAUUCGGAAUCACUGGGCGUAAAGCGUGCGUAGGCUGUUUUGUAAGUCAGAAGUGAAAGCCCAGGGCUUAACCCUUGAAUUGCUUUUGAAACUACAAGACUCGAAUUCGGGAGAGGAUAGCGGAAUUGCCAGUGUAGCAGUGAAAUGCGUAGAUAUUGACAGGAACACCAGUGGCGCAAGCGGCUAUCUGGACCGAUAUUGACGCUGAGGCACGAAAGCGUGGGGAGCAAACAGGAUUAGAAACCCUAGUAGUCC